ACGCCGCCUCUAAAAUCCCUAUCCUCUCAAACUCUCUUGAAGUCUCUCGAAACCCCAAUCACCGUCUACCACUUUCAACCUCAAACUCACUGAAAUCCGUGGCUGCUCAGGCCAUGGACGACCUAUAACCACCUCAUGCUGCUCUUAUGUGCCUGAUGCUUGAAGGUUUGAGGCCAGACUUCGAGGGUCUUCACUCAGACCUUCGCCAACUCGAGGUUUCUGGCCAUCUGUGGCCUUGCUCCGGCGUAUCCCAGCCUCAUGAGUCUGAUUCCGAUAUUAUCUAAGUUAGAUCGAACCUUUUCAAAGCCUUUCUCACUCUAUGGUUCCUCUGAAACCCUAGAUAUUAGAGGUUUUUCUCCGAUUCCCUUUAGAUCCGUGGUGUAUCUAUGUUAUAUUUGAGUUUUCAAAUGAUUUCCCUAAGUUUUCCUUUGAAAAUUAAUUUCAAACCCCUUGUUUUGCGAUUUAGGAUUUUCUGGAAAAUGUUUAAGUAUUUUCUAAUUGUCUUUUUCCUUUAAGUGUACUUGCUUCUGUUGUGGUCGUGUUUUUUCUUUUACCAUGUUCUUGUAUGUUCUUCUACUGAGUUUUUGUACUCCAUUCUUGAAUGUUAUUUUUAUUGUGCUUCCACCAUGCUUUCCAUACUAUGUUCUCAUAGGCUUCCAUCUAUGUUCUGGUAUUUUCUUUUACUAGCCGCUAUACUGUACUUUUCUACUGUAUUCUACUGAUCCUUGUUUAAGCUUCUACUAAGAAAAGACCUUCUUAAGCAUGUUUCUUUUACUGUGUUUUCCUAUUGUGUUUUAAAGUGUUUUUACUAUUUUCCAUUACCGAACCUUAGCUAAGUUUCUUCUGAAAAAGUAUGUUUCUUCUACUAUUAUGUUCUUUGAAUCCCUCUACUGUGUUUGCAUCAUGAGUUCUGAAAGAAGCAUGUUAGAAGCUUCAGUUUUUUUCUGAAACCUCUACACAUGCCUCGAUUCAAUUUGCUUGCCCUCUCCUCUUUGCUUUCUGGUUUGCUCGAACUAGGGUUUUAUUUCAAUGACCCCCUAAUUCUCUCAGACCGAACUUGAGUCUCUGAACCAUGUUUAGACAUCUUUAUUUUCAUACAAUUCUGAACUUUGCUAAACUCUUCGCACUAGAUUUUGCACUGGUUUUACGAUGGCUUAACAAUUUUCUUUCACGUUUAACGUGUCUGUGCGCUUUUUAUAUAUGGUGAAUUUUCCUCAAAAGGGCUUUCAAAUUGGAAAUUAGUGUAAAUUUCUUUCUGAAUAUAUCUGGGUUGAUUUCUUUCCAUCUUUUACUGAUCUCCUCUGUGACCCGACUUGGGUAAAAUCUUCUCCACCUUUACGGCUUAUUUCAUUCAAACAAAAUAUUUGACUAUUGAUUUCUUGGCUGUUAACUGAUUUUUUUUCUUAAAUUAUACAAUUGUGUACUUUUAGAAACCUUGUCCUGAAAUAACCUUUAUGUAUUUGCCUUCAAUUGCAUGCUUUGCACAAAGGGGUUUGAUUAAUUUCUUUCAUUAAUUGGUUUAUACCUGUUUGAAUUUGAAUCAUUUAAUUAAAGGGAGUCUUAUGUAAUUGAUUGACAAUCAAACUUUAAUUAUUUUCUUACCUUAUUUCCCAUGACUUUCACACUAUAAAUACCUUACCCUCUUUUUCACAACACACGCCUGAAUACACUUCAGACUUCAUGCUUACAAUUUUCACAAUCUCUUCUGAACAUUCACUUAAAAGUAUUCUUGUCUGCACUUUGGCUUUCACAAGACUACUGCUUUCUCUUUGCUUGUCUCUUUAAAACCGGUAUGUCUUAAUUCAAUUUCCAGCAUCGUCCAACUUACAGUUUUUGUAUCUAUGUCUACUUUCUGCUGAAUUUGACAUUGAAAUGUCUAUAUGCUACUAUUUACUUUACUUUCUUGUAAACACUUGCUCCCUAUCCCAUUACCUUCUAUAUGUUUGUAAGUAGGGACUCAGGGCAUGGCAACAAGAAUUGUUGUCCAUAAUUGAGUGUUGUCCAUGAAUUGAGUUCUGAUCCCAAGUAGGCUGGAAGGUGUGCCAGUAUGUCUCAUUGAUGGGUAUGCUGCCUACUCUUUCCUUGUAUCCUGCUUCUAUUAUUAAUCCCCAUAUCCCCACAUCCCCUAUGUAUGCUGGGUUAAAUUUCAUGGCAUGGCAACAUUCAAAUGGAUGUCCAGGUCUGAACCUAACCUUCAACGGGUCCUAACUCCUCAAUUUAAAACUGACAAUCUGGUCAGGGGUGUGCCAGCACCCCAAAUUGCUUAGCAUGAUCACCAGCUUGCCAUUUCCCCUCUACUGCACUUGCACUUACUCUUAGACUCUAAGUUCUGCCCCCUCCUAUGAGCCUUGCCUUGGGACUUUAAGUUCCCUCUGAACUUGGACAUUUGAAGGCUGACUCUUCCACACUGCACUAUAAUUUAAUUCUGCAAUAAUAUUUAGGGUGUAAGCACUGCCUGGAGCUCUUGAAUCUCCUUGGAACUUUGACACAUCCCCAAUAAGGGAAAGGCUUUGAAAAUAUGAUCUUUGGAAGGUGGUUUAUUUUAUAUUUCAGACCUGGGGUCUGAAUUAGGCUCUCCUUGGUUGGAAUCUUUAAUUUCUGAUGUAAUUUUUAUUUUUUUAUUCAUUCUAGUCUGUAAUAAUCUUGUAAAAACUGCUGGGGUGUUAAUGAAAAGGGGAGGGCCGAUCAUGCAUGCAAAGGGGUAAAUAUCAUGUUCAU
RNAcentral lists this long non-coding RNA (2718 nucleotides) under Nicotiana benthamiana. RNAcentral's name for it is "long non-coding RNA (NBEN_LNC017802)". Lineage: Eukaryota; Viridiplantae; Streptophyta; Magnoliopsida; Solanales; Solanaceae. The record is from RNAcentral.